Molecule: long non-coding RNA, 633 nt
Filed under: Setaria viridis
Lineage: Eukaryota; Viridiplantae; Streptophyta; Magnoliopsida; Poales; Poaceae
Description: long non-coding RNA (SVIR_LNC005793)
Source: RNAcentral
UGUAUCGCGUGUCGGGACGUGCAAAAGGGUCUUUGUCGGUCUAUCGUGCACUCACAGCAGCGAUUCGUUUUCUAAUUUGUGUUUUUCGAGAAACGUCGCGUGGAAUCUCAAUUUGAUUAAAAAGUGGACCGAUCGGCGCGGUUUCUAGAUAGUGGAUUAGUUGGCAGAGGUGUGCAGUGACCGCCUAACCUAGUACACCUGUCUGAAAAAGCCAGGUCAGGUCUGUUUGGCUUGGUCAGUCAGCAGAGGAUUCGCGUCCCGGCCGGAGUCCGACACGCAGAUGAUUCAAACAGCACUUGGGACGUUUCCACUUGAUUGGGUGUAUGCUGAUGGCAGAUGCGAUGCUUGCGCUGCGCAGGUUCGGGUGGCGACGCGGAAGAUCUACGACCCGCUGGAGGAGGACGCCUUCCGCCCCAUCCUCCACCACUACGACGGGCCCAAGUUCCGGCUCGAGCUCUCCGUCACCGAGGCCCUCGCGCUCCUCGACAUCUUCGCAGACAAGGACGACGCCUGAUCCGGCGAUCGGUCGUCGUCAGGCCGCCGUCGAGCAACAGGAGGGCAAGACCGAGAGUGCAUACCACCAGUAUAGCAUUUAUUACCUUUGUUUGAUAAGGGCUAUGAGGCAUGCGUCCC